CCGGCGAAUGCCGGUGGAACUACAGGACGUCGUGGUUGCGGGUUCGACUCCCGCCGGCUCUCCGGGGCCGUAGCUCAAUCGGAUAGAGCGCGAUGCCGUUUCACCCGACUUGUCGCCGUUUU
RNAcentral lists this Y RNA (122 nucleotides) under Pseudomonas sp. FeS53a. RNAcentral describes it as "Y RNA-like". It matches the Rfam family "Y RNA-like". From Rfam's summary of the family: In Deinococcus radiodurans Rsr is tethered via Y RNA to the exoribonuclease PNPase and channels single-stranded RNA into the PNPase cavity. Lineage: Bacteria; Pseudomonadati; Pseudomonadota; Gammaproteobacteria; Pseudomonadales; Pseudomonadaceae. The record is from Rfam by way of RNAcentral.